This 427-nucleotide ribosomal RNA is filed under the name uncultured bacterium. RNAcentral describes it as "bacterial SSU rRNA". It matches the Rfam family "Bacterial small subunit ribosomal RNA", at positions 355 to 774 of the family's 1533-position model. The record is from RNAcentral.
UGGGGAAUUUUGGACAAUGGACGCAAGUCUGAUCCAGCCAUGCCGCGUGCGGGAAGAAGGCCUUCGGGUUGUAAACCGCUUUUGUCAGGGAAGAAACGAGUUUCUCUAAUACAGAGACUUAAUGACGGUACCUGAAGAAUAAGCACCGGCUAACUACGUGCCAGCAGCCGCGGUAAUACGUAGGGUGCGAGCGUUAAUCGGAAUUACUGGGCGUAAAGCGUGCGCAGGCGGUUUUGUAAGACAGAGGUGAAAUCCCCGGGCUCAACCUGGGAAUUGCCUUUGUGACUGCAAGGCUUGAGUGCGGCAGAGGGGGAUGGAAUUCCGCGUGUAGCAGUGAAAUGCGUAGAUAUGCGGAGGAACACCGAUGGCGAAGGCAAUCCCCCUGGCCUGCACUGACGCUCAUGCACGAAAGCGUGGGGAGCAAACA